Molecule: ribosomal RNA, 441 nt
Filed under: uncultured bacterium
Lineage: Bacteria
Description: bacterial SSU rRNA
Rfam family: Bacterial small subunit ribosomal RNA
Source: RNAcentral
CCUACGGGAUGCAGCAGUGGGGAAUCUUGCGCAAUGGGCGAGAGCCUGACGCAGCAACGCCGCGUGGGGGAUGAAGGCCCUCGGGUUGUAAACCCCUUUCAGCAGGGACGAAAUUGACGGUACCUGCAGAAGAAGCCCCGGCCAACUACGUGCCAGCAGCCGCGGUAAUACGUAGGGGGCAAGCGUUGUCCGGAUUUAUUGGGCGUAAAGAGCUCGUAGGCGGCUUGGCAAGUCGGGUGUGAAAACUUCAGGCUCAACCUGGAGCGGCCACUCGAUACUGCUAUGGCUUGAGUCCGGUAGGGGACCACGGAAUUCCUGGUGUAGCGGUGAAAUGCGCAGAUAUCAGGAGGAACACCAGUGGCGAAGGCGGUGGUCUGGGCCGGAACUGACGCUGAGGAGCGAAAGCGUGGGUAGCAAACAGGAUUAGAUACCCUAGUAGUC